AAUAAAUAAUAUAAGAGCAUUUGGUGGAUGCCUUGGCGUUAGAAGGCGACGAAGGACGUGAUACACUGCGAUAAGCUCCGGGGAGUUGUGAAUAAACUUUGAUCCGGAGAUUUCCGAAUGGGGGAACCCACCUGAUUUAUCAGGUAUCGUAUAGUGAAUACAUAGCUAUAUGAAGCGAACUCAGUGAACUGAAAUAUCUCAUUAGCUGAAGGAAAGGACAUCAACAGAGACUCCGCUAGUAGUGACGAGCGAACGCGGACCAGGCAAGUAGCUUUUUAAAACAAACUAGAACAACAUGGAAAGGUUGGCAAUAAUGGGUGAUAGCCCCGUAUAGGUAAGGUUUUUUAAAGUUCUAGAGUAGGGCGGGACACGUGAAAUCCUGUCUGAAUAUGGGGGGACCACCCUCCAAGCCUAAGUACUCUCUAACGACCGAUAGUGAACAAG
This 444-nucleotide ribosomal RNA is filed under the name Rickettsiaceae bacterium. RNAcentral's name for it is "partial 23S ribosomal RNA". It matches the Rfam family "Bacterial large subunit ribosomal RNA", at positions 1 to 498 of the family's 2925-position model. Lineage: Bacteria; Pseudomonadati; Pseudomonadota; Alphaproteobacteria; Rickettsiales; Rickettsiaceae. The record is from RNAcentral.